UAACUGCGUUACUGUGGAUACCGAUAGCGCUGUCCUACGAGGAAACAGCAUUCAGGGUUGAGGCCAAACCCAAGCGGCACUAUCAGUAUUACGCCGCCUUUAGGAGAAGUAAAAUAACAAUUUAUAAGAAAAGGGGAAGAGGAAACCCUGCGUCCCACCUCCAUCCCCUUCUUCCUCUCCUCUUUUCUCGAAGCAGCGAGGACCGCCGUUACCCGGCGAGAAGAGCAACGCCGUGGACCUCGCCGGAAAACGACGAUGAGGAGAAGGGUGGAGAGGUGGGGAUCAAAGGAGGCACCGCCCCGUUGGCGGACUCCCGCCGUGGCCGGAAAUGCAUGAAGACGAAGGCGGAGGAGUAGAGCUCCCACGAGAUGCCGAAAGACUUUUGCCGCAUUCGCGAGAGGCACAAGAAGAAGGGCGGAGGGAUAGGGAUUGAAAACCCUCUAUGUCGCCAAGGACUCCAUUACUCCCUUCGGACGGCGUCACCCGACGUGUAUUCAUGCUUGUAAACCACAUGGUUGUGGAGGAAGCAGUCCGCUUUCUGGAGUUCGGGCUAAUUCCGGAUUAUUCUGGAGGAACAAACGUGGGCAAAGAGUGAGAUCGAAUUGCUACUUGUGGUUUAACAACUUUCCCCAUCUUCUUCAUUUUCUUUAUCUCUCUAUUCUCAUAGACUGACUCUUUAUUCUGAUUGGUUUGGAUUAUGACUUCUUUUUUGGUUUAACAUGAUCGUACUUCCAAUUAUUUACAUUUAUUUGCAAGAUUCAUAAUUGACUGGUUGCUUGAAUCUAAAGCGCAUUGGUUUUACUCUUACGUUGUGUUUAUUGUACUUGUAUUACCGACAAGUUUGUGAUUUGUGAUUUUACAUCAGAAAAUAAUUUCACCUUAAUUGUUUGAGAUGAUACUAGGAAUCUAUAAAUUGAGGAAUGGUCCCGCAUUGGAUAGGUUAGGAUUAUAGUUAACCUAGUAUACUCAUGGGCUUAUCCACCCACUAGCUUAAGUUUUGGCUCGGAUACUUUAUCAUGGUAUAACUCCUCGUCUUUGAGUUAUGUUCCUCCCCCUCUAUACGUAGAAGGGCCAUUGAGGAAUGCUCCCACAAUGGAUAGGUUUGGGACUAUAAUUGGUUUUAUGCACUCACGUAUCCAUCCACCACCUAAACAUGUGUAUUAGGUAAGGAAAAGUGAUUGAAGCUCUAGUAAGGAGAGAUGCUAGAAUUUGUGUUUUAGAGUCUAGGAGAAGACUUGAGCUUAUAUAUGUAGGUUUUGAAAUAAGACUUGGAAAAGUAUGAAAUAACGUAUUGUUGCUGUUUAUACGAGCGAUUGGGAAAUAUAAAUCCACUUGGCUGGCCCCAAAUAGUUGUAGCAAGGCUUAAGGAUGAAUUGAUAAUGGUUAUAUUAGAUGUAUUGAUUGUAGUAGAAUAUCAUGCACGUUGUGAUGUCAACUCUUAACUACAGCUACCUUCUCUACCUUUUGUUAGUAUGGUUUUUGUCUCAUAAGGAUUGAGCUUGAUGAAUAUCUGUUCCAUCUGAUAACUUGUGAUGCAGAACUGUAAACUCACUGGUAGGCAUCUCCACCUACAAUUUCUGAUACCUCAGAUAACAUGUUCUCUACUUAAUUGGAUGUUUUAAGGUAAUUUGCAUAUUUAGUUAUUAGCAUCUUUUAAUUCCUGAUUUAUUAUCAGACAAAUGCCAGAAAAAAGCUAAAAAAAGAAUUUUGUGUGUGUGUGUGUGUGUGUGUGAGAGAGAGAGAGAGAGAGAGAGUAGCUAUCCACUCCAUUGAUGGCACAUAAACAAUAAUCAAGCGUAUUCUUUGGUUUCUUGGAAUGCACAUUGAGCUUGGACUUCUUGUCUGGACCUAUCAAAAUUUGGUGUUAGAAACUGUUUUUCAGCCUUUUGGCUCAUAAUACAUGUCAUUGAGAUGAAGGCAAUUUCCAAUGUAAUAUUUUGCCUUCCUUUCUAGUUUGGCUAGUCUUCUUCCAUGUUUAGAGAAACGCAUGAUUGUUCCUUUAUUUGCACAUGCUUUAAGUGCAGAUUGAAUAUGCUUCCUUAUGAAGCAUUGAUUCUUUAGGAUUGAUGUCUAGUUUUUCUCUUGCUGAAGGUUGCUUUGUUAUGGCAUUUAGGACCAACUGUUUGAGGGCUGAUGCUAAAGUGAGAGCACUUAAACUUUUGACUAAUCUUAUUUAAAGUCCAAAAUCAACCUCCAUAGGUAUGGGGCGAGCCUUGUUAGCUAAGAUCAGGGUCUGCGUCGUUUUUCUUGUCGAUCCAACCAGACAACCAUAGCCUCCUCCUAUGGUGUGAGGGCUUGAUUUUGUACCCUACUUUUCUAUCCUGUGCCACUUAAAUCUCACAAAUGGUACCAAUCCAUCUUUUCAAGAGAGAGUAAAUAUAUCUGGUUUUCUUAUUUUUUUUAGUUAUUGAUUGAUGGCCUAUUCUUGCACACUGGAAUGUACUCAAUUUGCUUUUCUUUUAUUUUUGACCAUGGUGCUUUUGGAUUAUCAAAAUAAUUGUAGUUUAGGUCGUACAAUAGUAGUGGUUGCAGUAAGUUUGGAAACUGAGUUUAGCCCUUUUUUUUUGAGAAAACUGUCAACUGGCUACUAUGUGUGUAUUAAAUUGAUGAUGGGGGCUAUAGGAUUUCUACAUCUUCAUGAUCAACAAAUAUAAGCUUUGCCUAGUGCAUGGAGAUUGCUUCUUUUAUCUUUAUGAAGAGUUAGAGGUUCCCAACUUUGAAUGAUUACGGAAUAGUGAAAGAACAGAAAAUCACUUGUCCAUCUUAUUAAGAUUUCUUACGAAGUGCCCUAGCCAUCUCCAUGUAGCUCAUGUAAUUUGUUCGAAUGUGCUACACAUUACGGAAGCACAUGCAUGUACUUUCAUGCAUACAUAAAAGGACAUAAAUUAUUUUUUCAGUUUUCAAGCUUCUUUUCAUGAACCUCCUGCAGUUGUGUUGCAAAUUUUGCUCCAUCCUUUUCCAAAUCCACUUUGUUGGUUUCUGUGUGAGCUUCCUUGCCUUUUCUGUACAUGCAGUAUAGUACCAGUUGAAGGAGGGCAAUGGGGCUGCCCAAGAGAUUAGGUGUCUGUACCAAAAAAAUUUCAAGUUUAGUUGAUAUGGAAAACUUGAUUUCUUAUAUCAAGGUAUCAUGGUUUUAGCUUGCCAACCGC
This 3149-nucleotide long non-coding RNA is filed under the name Elaeis guineensis (African oil palm). RNAcentral describes it as "long non-coding RNA (EGUI_LNC016224)". The record is from RNAcentral. Lineage: Eukaryota; Viridiplantae; Streptophyta; Magnoliopsida; Arecales; Arecaceae.